UCCAGAUUUUCACCAUGACGGAAAAGGGUCUGACUGGCAGCCCUACAGGGAAGAGGUGGAUGCUGCUGAUCACUGAAAUGUAAUAAAAAACACCGGAUCCCAAGCCAGAGAGAACCCAAGACAGAAGAAUUGAUGAAAAACUUGGAGGAUCUUAAAAGAAGAGAGGUUUAAGGAGGGAAUUUCGGAGAAUGAGGCCUAGGAAGCAGAUGGAAUGACUGCCAAUGAUCGGACAAACAGAGGGCAGGAGAUCACAUGAGGCAAGAGUCUGAAAAAAUUUGAGGUCUCAGGUGAGGGAGCAAUGGAGCAUGAAGAGGCUGAGGAAUCCUCAAAGAAAGGCGCAUACUCUGAGGGAGCAUUCAAGUGUAUCCCUAACCACUGCAGAAACACGUGCCCUGGUGUGGACAGGAAUAGAAACAGUUAGAUGUCACCUGGUGUCACAAUGACGGAAAAACUGUGACGGAGUGAGAGCGACCUACAACUUCAGUUAACCACAGACAUAUUGAACUGUUUAAAGAAGACCUGUUUUUUUUAAAAACAUACAGGUAAAUUCAUUGACCAAAGAUGGAUACCAGCAAUCACCUGAUGUCUGACACUAUAAAGUUGACUACUUCUCUGGAAAGUCUAUAUAAAUUGCAUUGCAGACCUGUCACAUGGAAUUUCACACCUGUGGGGUUGGGGCAGGGGCUGGGUGGUAACCAAGUCUAUUUCAAACAAAGACUCUUGAAAGGAAGGUGUUAAGGAUGCAAAAUGCUGGGGUUCGAUCAGAUAGUCAUCAGACAUUUAAAACCCCCUAUGGAGGACAAAAUAACCCCAGCUCCUGUUGAUUUAUAUCUUUAAAAAAAAUGUCAAAAGGUUUCUGAGAUGAAAGAAUAAAAAAAACUGGAUUACUACAACAAUGGAUGCAAGACAUGCCAAUUGAAUUCCUUUCCAGUAAUAUACAGAAAUGACUUUAAAACUGGCUCUGCCAAGCGGAGAAAAAGGGGACAAGCAAGAAGACAGAAACAUGACAGUCAUCUAAGAACUCUGCUGAAAAAGAGUAGGAAAGAUAGAUCGAUCUCCCUCUCUCUUUCUCUCUCUCUCUCUCGAAGCAAAAAGUGUCUCUUCAACAGUGUGCAGACCUGAACAAAGGCAACUCCAGAAUUCUACUGGAAACCACCUAGUUUCAACGGCCAUAACGUUUCACAUUCUACACCUCACUGACAAGAAAAGGACUUACUCAUAUCUUCUUUUAACUUUUAUUUGGACUCUAAUUUUCUGAUAUGUGUGUGUGCUGCUGUGUCUUUUAUUAUUUUUUCACAGGUUUUAGUAACUAAUAAACUAACUCUUUGACUCAAGAAAACUUGGUUUGAUUGGCUCCUUGUUUAAAAGUAGAUAGAUUUGGACUGGAAAAGGUAUCAAUGGGGGAAAGAAAUGUAAAAAAACAAACCUUUGUAACCAACUGAGGGGGUUGAAUAAAAGGGGAGCCAGCUCACUCCUCCUCACCAGGUCGUAGCAAUGGUGAGACAAACAUCACAUCUGAUCAGGAGUAGGUGUAGGAUUCAGGGAGAACAGUGGAGAUUCCCCAUCAGAGGGAGCAGAACAUUCCAAGUUCUGCUCAGCUGGGCACAAGAGGAAGGAGGGAAUUUCUGGAACAGCACUGGGAAAAGUCUGUAGCGCUGUUAGUACUUCCUGAGGCCAUGCUCAUCCUUGCAGAGAGCUUGGAGGAGUCAAUCUCAAAUUUGAGUGUCGUAAUGUCUGAGUUAUUUGCUCUGAUGUUCACCUUCAUGGAGAGAAUGACCAUCAAUUGCGACAGGCCACCAAGUACAUGCCUGUCAUCAGCAAUGACAUGCACAUUCUAUCUGGCACUGGAUGGAAAAAAGCCUAAUCAUGACCACUUCACGCCUUACAGAUAUGCAUCCAUUGCUCUCCAGCGCACUGCUAGCAGAGGAGCAUAGGUGGGCACGUGGAAGUGGGGACUAUUCCCAAGGCACUUUCACUUCUUAUGCCUUCUCCACUCACCUCGGAUGUUGUGGCACAGUGGUAAUGUCACUGGACUAGUAAUUCAGUUAAUUCUCUGAAACAUGAGUUCAAAUCCCUCCCACGGAAUCUGGUUGAAUUUAAAUUCAACUAAUAAAAUCAGGAAUAUAAAGCUAGUCUCAGUAAUGGUGACCACUUCAGCUAUCAUUGAUUGUUAUAAAAAGCCAUUGGUUCACUAAUGCUCUUCAGGGAAGGAAAUCUGCCCUCCUUACCUGAGCCUGUCCUACAUAUGACUCCAGACUCACAGCAACAUGGUUGACUCUUAAUUGCCCUCUGAAAUGGCCUAGCAAGCUAUUCUGUGCAAGGGCAACAAAUGCUGGUCUCGCCAGUGAUGCCCUCAUCCCAUGAAAGAAUAAAGAAAAGACAGAGGCCCACACAUUGCCUCCUACCCUAAUGUCCAAGUCUGCACAAGUGUAGGUGGGGCAGUCUUUGAUGAAUCUUGGACAGGCUCCAAAACAGAGGGAAUAUCUUCCAUGAGCAUCUCAUGUGUCAGAGCAGGGGAGUGAGCAGCCUGCCUCUAGCUCUGCCAAAGCUACAAUGGUAGCACUACUUAAGAGCAAUAGAAAGCCAAAGAGGAAGACUUCUUAGUUGCACAAGGGGGUUCACUUGGGUGUUUGUAGUUAUGUCAGUGUUAUUUCAUUUGUGAAAUAGUGAAUGAGGAAAGGUUUUAUAUGUGGUGCCGUCUUCCAAUUCUUCAAUAGACAAAAGGCUUCAUCAAAAUGGUAUGCCCAGGGUAGAGUGCAAACUGUGUGCUUGGAAUGCAGUGGUUUUAUCAAUGUGGAAAUGCUUUGUGCUGGGGCUGUGGAUGGUGGACCAGAAUAUUCAGUGCCAUAUGGCUUUGUGCUUUAUGUUAUUUGAACUGUGCCUCUGAGGCCAUCACAGGCUUCUCUGGCAGCCAGAUGUGUAGCUGUAGCCAUCCAGCCCAGAUGCUCCUUUUUCCUCAGUUCCUGCUCAUCCUUGUCCUCCACGUUGCAGGAAGAUGCCGAGCAGCUUACACCUUCAUCCUCCUGCAGCUCCAUUCCUCUCUGCAAUGCCAUGCUGGACAAGGCACAGAAGACCACCACCAUUCUCGAUACCUUUCCUUGUGCAAACUGUAGAGCCUGCCCCCAGAUCUGUCAAGGCAUCUGAAUCUCAUUUUCAGCAAUCCAACAACUUGCUCAGUGAUCAAUCUUGUGAUGAUGUGGCUGCUGUUGUGCCUCUCUUCAGCAUCAUUGGCAGGGCUGCUGACACUGGUGUCAUCAGCCAGGUCUUCAGAAGGUAGCCCUUGUCUUCAAGGAGCCACCUACUCAAUCUGCUUGGAGGUGCCAACACCUACUGUAGACUUAACUAGUGCGUAGGAGUCAUGGCAGUUUCCAGGAAACCUUGCACAUGAGUGGAUCUUUUUAUUCUUUCAAGGGAUGUAUGCUUCGCUGGCAAGACCAGUAUUUGUUGCUCAUUCCUAAUUGCUCUUGAGAAGCAAACUUAUAAUGAGAAACUUUUAAAGUUUUAAACUUUUAAACUAAUUGAUACAUUUAUAAUGAUCGCAAACAACCUGCACAUGGAGGGAGUGAAAUCCCUUUCAAUUGAUGAAAACUCUAGGAUUUUCUGAUGGCUCCUUGAUAGCCACAUGUGUACAGCCUAUGACCCCCGAACUGUGGAAAACCAGCCACUGCAACAGAAACAAAUGUCUGAUUGGCCUCAUUGGUGUCAACAUAUUGCAUAUAUUGAGCGGCCUUGGCAAACAUGGCAUUUGUGAACUGGGAAAUUGGUUUGAGGGCUGCAGAUUGUGAGAUCCUGCAGAUGUCCCCAGCUGAUGCCUGAAAGGAGGGGCUGAAGGUGAAGAAAUGCAGGGCUAUGGUGCCCUUGAUCAUCACUGGCACUGUUGCUCCAUUACAUCAAGGAAGCUAAUCCUCUGUAGACCCUGUUUGAGUGGUUUGAGCUUUGGCUCUGUGUCCCUCCCCUCUAUCCUGUGGAUUGGUAUGUAGCCAUGGGGAAGACAGCUGCUGUACAGCAUAGCACUGAUUGAUUGCCAUUGAAACUUGUUUGAAUAUGAGUAAGUUUAUUAGGUGUCUAUAUUCAACAUAGGGAAGUAUGGUCACCCUAGCUGUAGCUGUUGUUGCUGCUCCUGCUAUAGCUGGUGUUGGUGUUGCUGCUCCUGUUCCUCUUCAGUGGGUAAUAUAAUAGUUGCAUAAGCUGCUCCCAUUCUGCAGUGAAGGCUGAGAACAGUUAAAUAAGUUAAGUAAGGUGCAAGGUAAGCAAAAUGACUUCCAUAAAGUUGCCCCUAUCCUUUAAAUGAGGGAAAUCAUGUUCUCAAGACAAGGGCUGUGAGUACAAGCCUUCCCCAUAGGCAUGGCUACAGUUGUUCUGUUUGACUAUUUAAAGAUGUAAAACAGAUGACUAUCCAACUGCUGCUCAUUUCCCACUGUUGAGAACAGUUAUAACCAACCCAAGUUUUGAAUUCAACAUUGAAGGCUAUAAAAGGAAAAAUGGUAAUAGCCCUAACACUGAGCUGCUAACCGAGCACAGACUGAAAAUUAAAGAAAUUUAACUAAGAUUAUUGCAUAACAUUAGUUGAUCCACUGUGGUACUUAUGGGUGAAGGUUAAAAUAAAUGAAUCAUGUUUUGUUUC
This is a long non-coding RNA of Carcharodon carcharias (great white shark), 4624 nucleotides long. RefSeq lists it as uncharacterized. The transcript is spliced from 3 exons. Lineage: Eukaryota; Metazoa; Chordata; Chondrichthyes; Lamniformes; Lamnidae. The record is from RefSeq and is a predicted model, not a curated record.